RNAcentral lists this transfer RNA (96 nucleotides) under Cordylochernes scorpioides. RNAcentral's name for it is "tRNA-OTHER". The record is from RNAcentral. Lineage: Eukaryota; Metazoa; Arthropoda; Arachnida; Pseudoscorpiones; Chernetidae.
UGUCCAAUGCGGGAAUCGAACCCGGGUCCUAGUGGUCUAAAACCAAACGGUUUAACCAGCCUUCCACUAAGGGUUAAGAAUGUCGGCUAAUUAGCC